UAAACUCCGCAGUGUUCUUGUGUCUGAUUUCACCCAAUCACAACCAAACCUCCUAAGAGAGUGUGUUAUGCUACUUCCUUUGAAAGUUCGGUCCUUUGGAACAUCCUUAAUAAAAGGGUGUUAGCUGAACUUCACAUUCCAUCUUACAUUUGGACUUCUUUUUCCCGGGCAAUAGGAAAAGAUGCUCACUUUGGACCAAUUCAGGAACAAAAAUACGUUAAUAGGUCUUGGGUUGGGACAGUUUCUCUCUCUUCUGAUCACUUCAACUGGUUUCACCUCUUCUGAAUUGGCCAAAAAAGGGAUUAAUGCACCAACUUCACAGUCGUUUUUAAACUACGUAUUUUUGGCAGUUGUCUACGGGAGCAUUGUUCUGUACAGAAGGGAAGCACUUAAGGCAAAAUGGUAUUAUUACAUACUUCUUGGCUUGGUUGAUGUUGAAGCAAAUUUUCUUGUUGUGAAGGCGUAUCAAUACACAUCACUAACAAGUGUGAUGCUGCUUGACUGCUGGUCCAUCCCAUGUGUCAUGCUUUUUACGUGGAUUUUCCUAAAAACAAAAUAUAGACUAUUGAAGAUAACCGGUGUACUUGUUUGCCUUGCCGGCCUUGUCCUGGUUGUAUUUUCAGAUGUCCAUGCAGGCGAUCGAGCAGGUGGAAGCAACCCUCGUACAGGGGAUCUUCUUGUUAUUGCUGGUGCUACAUUGUAUGCUGUCAGCAAUGUCAGCGAGGAGUUUCUAGUGAAAAAUGCCGAUAGAGUUGAGUUGAUGGCAAUGUUGGGUGUCUUCGGUGGCAUUAUCAGUGCCAUUCAAAUAAGCAUACUUGAGCGCAAUGAGCUAAAAUCUAUUCACUGGUCAGCUGGGGCAAACCAUAAAAUCCCGAGUUGCUUUUUGUUUGCAAUCUUGGAAGGAAACAAUGAAUUUGGUCCUAACAAUGGUGAUGUACCCCUUUCUCUUGAGAUCAGGGGCGCUUCCUUUUGUUGGAUUUGCGGUGGCUAUGUUUUUGUUUUACUCUUUAGUCCCUGUCCUACUAAAGAUCAAUGGUUCCACUAUGUUAAAUUUGUCUCUAUUGACCUCGGACAUGUGGGCUGUCUUAAUUCGCAUCUUCGCUUACCAUGAGAAGGUUGAUUGGAUGUACUAUGUGGCCUUUGGUGCUGUUGUUGUAGGUCUUAUUAUCUAUUCUGGUGGUGAUACAAAUGAGAAUGAAGACCAUCUCCAUCUUGCUGAAGAUGCGAACCAAAGACAACAUGAUGAAGAAGCUACUACUUCAGGUAAAUCAUAAUAAUAGCACCUGGGCCGGAUGCUCCAAAAAACUAAGCACACCUUAAGAGGUGUUUGAAGGGUAAAACCAUGAGGAAGAGUCUCCUUCAAAGAUGGACAUUUUACUUGCAUUCCUAGAUUGCAAAACAAGAAGCAUUCGAUUCGAUUCAAUUUGUGUAGAUGGAAAUUUGAGUGUUUAGGACGGUUCUUUUAAUGUUUAUUCUAAAAUUCAGUCAGUAAUAAUAGCGUGCUAAAUUUCACAUAAUUCUAAAA
Vigna unguiculata (cowpea) is the source of this 1525-nucleotide unclassified non-coding RNA. NCBI's taxonomy places the organism in Eukaryota, Viridiplantae, Streptophyta, Magnoliopsida, Fabales, Fabaceae. The record is from RefSeq and is a predicted model, not a curated record.